Molecule: long non-coding RNA, 682 nt
Filed under: Homo sapiens (human)
Lineage: Eukaryota; Metazoa; Chordata; Mammalia; Primates; Hominidae
Description: non-protein coding lnc-DHX29-1:1
Source: RNAcentral
GAAAAGUAAUGGUUACUAACUUGUAGAAAGUUAUAGCAACACAUUUAGAAGAUACUAUUCCUAUUCCAGACGGCAUCGUUCACCCAAAUUAUCCUUGUGAUCCUCUGGAGAUGAAAGAAAGACUUGAUGAAAGAUAAAACCGUGUUGUGCUGAUGCAGGAGACAACCGCGAAGAUGGGGACAGAAUCAGUAACAUCGACGUAAGGGAAUUGAAGCAGAAGAUCACGCUGCCUGCAGACACCAGGAAACGCCAAGACCCCCCUUCCACGAACCAACAUUCUUCCACCCUCUCCAACUUUUUUCUGGAACCCCUUCACUUCCAACGCCACUCAAUGUACACUUCACUUUCUCGUGCUCUUCCUAAGAGAGUAGUGUUUUCUUCCUCCCCACCGAGAAAAAAAAUAAAAGCAACAACUGGAACUUCUUCCUUACCCUGCCUUGUCUGCAGACCCUGGAGGCCCCUUCCAUUUCCCCUUGUCCUUUUCCUUGUCUUUUUUGGUUCCCGCCGCAGUGGUCGAGUCGCCCUCGAACACGCUGAACAGCUCAUCUCCGAAUGCGUCCGCCAUUUUUGGGAGCAGUGAGAGCAAAUCUCCCUCCUACCCACGAUGCCCCGCGACCGAAGACAGUGACGUCUCGUGAAGGCUCAACAGUGGCCCGCAGGAGACAAAAGUAGUCGAGUCGCG